GGAGUAUAGAGGAGUAUAGAGGAGUAUUUAAUAUGGAGAAGGGAGUAUAGAGGUGUAUUUAAUAUGAAGAGAGGAGUAUAGAGGAGUAUUUAAUAUGAAGAGAGG
This is a non-coding RNA of Salmo salar (Atlantic salmon), 105 nucleotides long. The record is from RefSeq and is a predicted model, not a curated record. Lineage: Eukaryota; Metazoa; Chordata; Actinopteri; Salmoniformes; Salmonidae.